Non-coding RNA from Zootermopsis nevadensis, 1072 nucleotides. The record is from RefSeq and is a predicted model, not a curated record. NCBI's taxonomy places the organism in Eukaryota, Metazoa, Arthropoda, Insecta, Blattodea, Termopsidae.
AUUGCAAAAUUCAUAUUUGAUGAGAGCACCCAUUUUUGAAGUUUUCUUUGCAUAACCUGUUUAUGAAUGUCUAAAUGCUGGCUGAAUUUAUACAGUAACCAUCAGCUGUAACAUCGUGCAGUGAAAUCUAACUUAUCGGAGUACAUUUGUGUUCAGAUCUAGAUGUGGGCUUACCUCAUGACAAAGUGAGGGAGUUUGCGCAUGUAUCAAGUGACAGAAUAUUUGAACAUGAGGACUGUGGCCCUGUUGAGAGUUUAAAGAUGUCAAUUGAUUUCUCUCAGACUGGGGUGGCAGAGAUUGCACAAGCUAUGCAAGAUGGAGAAUAUGAUAUUAACACAAACUCCAGCACAGAAUAAAAGCCUGUGCCACCUAUUGUUCUAAGAGCCCACGUGGUCAAGAAAGAGUUACAGGAAACUAAAAACCUGAAGCAGAAACUAGAAGCGAAGGGGGUGGAUAUAAAGGAGCUAAUGAUUUCCUUGAAGCUAAAGCAGGAGGAAGUGAGUGAGAUCACUAUUAGAAAAGAACUAGCAGAAGAGAAGCUUGGAAAUGUGAACAAAGUCUAUGAGCUGACUAUUGAGAAGUUGCAGAUAAGUUAGCUGAGCCACAGGCAUGAUAUUACUUCACAUUUGCAAGUCCUGGUUUUGUUGUGAUCGCAUUUGUAGGGCCUUAUUCAAACUGUAUGGAAACAUUUUGUCCUAACUCAUUUAGAUUCUGAAGAAGUAUCAUUAAUUAUUUCUGUGGAAAGUGAAAACUGGUAUCACAUUUUUCCCAAAGUGUUUUAUUUCUGUAUAUUAUAUGUUUAGAAAAGUGGUUCUCAAACAAAAGUUUUGUCUGGGCCAUAUUCACUUUUACAUAACAUUUACAUGUAAUUGUGCCAAAACCUAAGUAGACUGUGAUAAUUUUUUAAACAUCUUGCUUCCUUUGUUUCUUCUGUGAACCAUAAAACUAACAUAAUAAAAAGUAGAAUAAGAAUAUACUACUGGUUUAUUCCCUCAGAGUAAUCUCCUAUUAAAUCCAUACAGUUCUAUCAUUGGUGCUAACCUAACAGUAAACAGUUUUUGAAGAUCAUUUU